UCCUUGGUGGUCCAGUGGUUAAGACUUUGCCUUCCAAUGCAAGGGUUAUGGGUUCAAUUCCUAGUCAGGGAG
This 72-nucleotide transfer RNA is filed under the name Ovis aries (sheep). It matches the Rfam family "tRNA". From Rfam's summary of the family: Transfer RNA (tRNA) molecules are approximately 80 nucleotides in length. Their secondary structure includes four short double-helical elements and three loops (D, anti-codon, and T loops). Lineage: Eukaryota; Metazoa; Chordata; Mammalia; Artiodactyla; Bovidae. The record is from Rfam by way of RNAcentral.